This 253-nucleotide ribosomal RNA is filed under the name uncultured prokaryote. RNAcentral's name for it is "partial 16S ribosomal RNA". It matches the Rfam family "Bacterial small subunit ribosomal RNA", at positions 524 to 776 of the family's 1533-position model. The record is from RNAcentral.
UACGUAGGGGGCAAGCGUUGUCCGGAAUCACUGGGCGUAAAGCGUGCGUAGGCGGUCGCGUGUGUCUGGGGUGAAAGUCCAGGGCUCAACUCUGGGAUUGCCUUGGAAACUGCGCGACUUGAGUACUGGAGAGGCAAGGGGAAUUCCGCGUGUAGCGGUGGAAUGCGUAGAUAUGCGGAGGAAUACCAGUGGCGAAGGCGCCUUGCUGGACAGUGACUGACGCUGAGGCACGAAAGCGUGGGGAGCAAACAGG